This 247-nucleotide ribosomal RNA is filed under the name uncultured bacterium. RNAcentral describes it as "partial 16S ribosomal RNA". It matches the Rfam family "Bacterial small subunit ribosomal RNA", at positions 523 to 769 of the family's 1533-position model. The record is from RNAcentral.
AUACGGAGGAUCCGAGUGUUAUCCGGAUUUAUUGGGUUUAAAGGGUGCGCAGGCGGACUCGUCAAGUCAGCGGUAAAAAUUCGGGGCUCAACCCCGUCCUGCCGUUGAAACUGCGAGACUGGAGUGCGACAGAGGAAGGCGGAAUGCGAGGUGUAGCGGUGAAAUGCAUAGAUAUCGCGCAGAACUCCGAUUGCGAAGGCAGCCUUCCAUGUCGUGACUGACGCUGAGGCACGAAAGCGUGGGGAUC